Molecule: ribosomal RNA, 301 nt
Filed under: uncultured bacterium
Lineage: Bacteria
Description: partial 16S ribosomal RNA
Rfam family: Bacterial small subunit ribosomal RNA
Source: RNAcentral
CAGCCGCCACGGGAAUACGUAGGGUGCAAGCGUUAAUCGGAAUUACUGGGCGUAAAGCGUGCGCAGGCGGUUAUAUAAGACAGAUGUGAAAUCCCCGGGCUCAACCUGGGAACUGCAUUUGUGACUGUAUAGCUAGAGUACGGCAGAGGGGGAUGGAAUUCCGCGUGUAGCAGUGAAAUGCGUAGAUAUGCGGAGGAACACCGAUGGCGAAGGAAAUCCCCUGGGCCUGUACUGACGCUCAUGCACGAAAGCGUGGGGAGCAAACAGGAUUAGAUACCCGCGUAGUCCCUGUCUCUUAUAC